GUACUAGCUUCAUUAGCACAUAUACUAAAAUUGAAACAAUACAGAAGGUAACAUGGCCUUUGCAGAAGGAUGACACACAUAUUCAUGAAACACUUGAUGUUUUA
Molecule: small nuclear RNA, 104 nt
Organism: Monodelphis domestica (gray short-tailed opossum)
Lineage: Eukaryota; Metazoa; Chordata; Mammalia; Didelphimorphia; Didelphidae
Source: Ensembl